Heterocephalus glaber (naked mole-rat) is the source of this 1662-nucleotide long non-coding RNA. RefSeq lists it as uncharacterized. The record is from RefSeq and is a predicted model, not a curated record. Lineage: Eukaryota; Metazoa; Chordata; Mammalia; Rodentia; Bathyergidae.
UAAUUUCUAGGCUGAUUUCUUUCAAGUGGAAAAUGGUAUUUAGAAGCCAAGACCUUGGUGCUUGGUGUCCUCACAGGCAUUGUAUCUUUCAGAGAGAACACUUUCAUUUAUGCUAGAAAGAAAUAUGUACACACAUCUACAUUUAUUUAUAUUAAAAACAUGAGUUCAAAUGACUUCCCCGAUUCUCACUAAGGCCACAGGGUUUGUUCCCUUUCCACAUGUGUAAUUACUGUCACUACCCACGAGAAAUAUGGCUUCUGUUGUCCUUAGUAUGCUUCCUGUUUGCCCAGUCUUUUGCUUGUAAUCAAUCUCCUACCCACACAGAUCACCUUCUUUGCCCCAGGCUCACCAAACAAGCUGAUUGGAGCAGCCAAAUCUCCGUCUCAGCCACGACCACAUCAGCUAUACUGGCUGAAUCCUCCAUCCAGAUCGAAGGACCACAUGGCAGGAGCUCCAGGAGAGUCUUAUUUAUAGUGAUGUUUUGGAACCAAAGUCCUCCAUCUCUGGGAUAGGCGCAGGCUGACUGUGGCAUUGGAACCCUACCACUAGCAGCUAAAAUAACAUUCUGAACCAUGAAUUUGCCAGCCAUAUUUCAAAGAAACAUGUAUCUGACGAUUUGGUCCAGGACUAUUUUGAGAUGUCUGCAUAUGUUCCAAGGACUACAAAACUUGCUGAUAUCAGUAAUAUACUUGGAGUUCUCCAAACAAUGAAGGAAUAUUUAAAAUACUAAAUUAAAUUUCUAUUUAAAAUCUAUAUCUAAAAAAUUUAAAAGCUGAUUAGGGGAGAGAGAGAGAGAACGAACCUGAAAAUAUAAGUAAAUGUUCCAAACAAGCAAUGCUCUCGGAUGUGAGAAUAAGAUAGACAAUUCUGCAAGGCAAUCUGUAUAUAUGUUGGGAGUGAGAGCAGAGUACCUCCUAAUUUCAUUGAGAAAACUAGAAUUUUAAAAAAUAAUUAUGUGAUAAAAGUUUUACAACUAUAAGCUCAUUUGAUCCUUAGGAUAAUCUGGUGACAUAAGCUCAGGCUAAAUCUACUAUUCCCAUUUCAUAGAUAAUGGAAUGGGAUUUAGUAGAGUCUCACUGUAAGUCCACUAUAUAGCUGUGCCUUGUCCAGUCCAGGUUUAUGCUUCCUCCCUACCCUCACACCAGGCACUGAGAAGCUAACAUAAUGAAUAUGCUAAUAUGAUACCAUUAUUAAUUGAAGUAUUAAUUCAACAAACAUUUUAAAUGCCAAAUCCAUGGCAAACCCUGCCUUCAAGAGGUUUACAGUCCAAUGGAGGGAGCAAAUAUUUAACAGACAAAAGAGCAUAUGAAAAGCUCUAAAUGAAAUGGAAUCACAGAAAGGAAUACCUGAUUGCACCCAGCAUAUUAGACUACAUUGCCCUAAAAGGAUAGUUAACCUUAGUGAGUCUUUAAAAAGGAGGCCAAAGUAGGUUCUUGAUAGGGUGUCUUCCCCAGCAUUUUCUGCUCUGAUUCUAAAGUCCAGUACCAGUCAGCAAGGAAACAAACAAACAAACAAACAAACUACACUCCUACUGUGAAGAAAAGCAAUUCAUCUAGUCUUAUAACCAGGCAGGUAUUUCCACCCUCUUCUGCUCACUUACUGAGCUAACCAAACAACCUUUCAAAUAGUAUUUAGGAACAUGGGGUUAAUCCAUUCGAGCAA